RNAcentral lists this ribosomal RNA (270 nucleotides) under uncultured Bacteroides sp. RNAcentral's name for it is "partial 16S ribosomal RNA". It matches the Rfam family "Bacterial small subunit ribosomal RNA", at positions 68 to 339 of the family's 1533-position model. Lineage: Bacteria; Pseudomonadati; Bacteroidota; Bacteroidia; Bacteroidales; Bacteroidaceae. The record is from RNAcentral.
AGCAUGGUCUUAGCUUGCUAAGACUGAUGGCGACCGGCGCACGGGUGAGUAACACGUAUCCAACCUGCCGUCUACUCUUGGACAGCCUUCUGAAAGGAAGAUUAAUACAAGAUGGCAUCAUGAGUCCGCAUGAUUAAAGGUAUUUUCCGGUAGACGAUGGGGAUGCGUUCCAUUAGAUAGUAGGCGGGGUAACGGCCCACCUAGUCAACGAUGGAUAGGGGUUCUGAGAGGAAGGUCCCCACAUUGGAACUGAGACACGGUCCAAACUCC